This 416-nucleotide long non-coding RNA is filed under the name Junco hyemalis (dark-eyed junco). RNAcentral's name for it is "lncRNA (ENSJHYG00000016179.1)". Lineage: Eukaryota; Metazoa; Chordata; Aves; Passeriformes; Passerellidae. The record is from RNAcentral.
GCGGGCGCGGGGCGGGGCCGGGGCGGGCGCGGGGCGGGGCCGGGGCGGGCGCGGGGCGGCCCCGGCAGCGGGGAUGGCGGCGGCGGCGGCCGGGUGAGGGGCCGCGGCUGGCAGCGCCGAGCCCGCCGGCACCGGCUGGGGACAGGGACAGAGCGCCGGCCCCGCGGGGUUAUUUGGAAGAGAUGCAGGAUUUUCUCCCUGAACAGCUAAAGCAGUAUCACCUGCCCCAGGAAGGGUUUCCUUCUGAAAUGGGCCCUGGCACAAUGGGGCUGCCAACGCCUGAAACGUUCUGCUCUGCUGCAUAAUCAGAAUGAAAACUCAACAAAUACGUUAAGAUAUUUCCAGAAAGUGCCUCGAGGAAGCUUCCUUAUGUAGAAAAACCCCACAAGAAACACAGUGUGUGCUUCCUGGCAGCU